Molecule: non-coding RNA, 1990 nt
Organism: Pogona vitticeps (central bearded dragon)
Lineage: Eukaryota; Metazoa; Chordata; Lepidosauria; Squamata; Agamidae
Source: RefSeq, a predicted model, not a curated record
AGUGGAAACUCUAAUGGAAAGCCCUGCUCCUAUAUUGUUAUGCACGGCCCUCAUGUAGAUACAUGGGGGAGGAUUAAGUUGGUUUAUAAAGGGCCUUUUGUGUGCAGUGUUAAUUUGCAGUACUCUUGACAGUUGAGGUUGAAGGGUUUACAACCUUUCUGUUUACUUAGAUGCAAUGUGUCCUAGCUUUGUUUAUUUCCCUCCGCAGCCCCUUAAGGCCUGGUAAAAGUUACAUUUAUCUUUAUUAAUGACGAUGGUGCCGCCAAACGUGGCAGCGGAGAAAAUAAAGACAGACACUUGUGGCAUCAUUAAUUGCCAGCUUUUGUUCUUUCCUUCUUCCUGGUCACCAUCAACGGUCCUAUAAGCAGUACUGUGACUCAAGUUUCCUUUCCAAAGAUUUUUUUUAUGUACUCUCUGGUAUUUUUUAUGUACUCAUAAAAAAAUACCAGAGAAAUCUAAUCAUUUAAAUCAAGCUACGUGCAUAUGUGAAAGGGUUGUCAGUUAUGCUGAUACCAUGUUAAAAGAAAAGAACUGCAAAUUAUUACCACAAACAUCUGUUGUCUCCAGUGGUAGCAAUUGCUCGUUAGUGCAAUCCUAUAUGCAUGUCCCUGGAUGUAAAUCCAACUGAGUUCAAUGAGACUUUCUCCCAGAAUAUCUGAAGAGGACAUCAUCUGUUGUCUGCUAUGCAGAGAACUUCACAACCUAAAUGACAAUCCAAUGUUUUCAAUCAUGUGGAGGGUCUCCAUGUAUAGAAGAGGCUCUUCGGAACAGCAGUCUCCAAGUGACAGCAUAGGGGCUCUUGCAGUUAUGAUAAUGGAAGAACUGCGAAGAAAAAAAAAGAGGAUGCUAUAACUUUGAUGUCUGGCCAUUCCUACAAUACUGGCUAUUGGGAUCCUGAUGGCAUAUGUCUCUAAGAAAUGUUUCUGCUUUUAUCUUACACUCUGCUGCUCCUGGAGGCAGCUUGUAAGCAUGAAGCAUUCCCCCCCCCUCCGCCUGCGGCUUGAGCCUCUGAGAGACAGCUAACUUCGUUGGCAAGAGCUCUGAUAUACUCAACAUCCACGGAACACAAGGAGCCUGGGCAGGGGUUGACAGGAAACAAAGGUGCAAAAUGUUGGAGAGAAUACAUACAGUCAGAACAACUGGAAAGGAUUUUGUUCCCCUCUUCCCUCAUAUGACAGUUAUUAAAAUAUCUAGGAGGCUUUUUUUCCUAUUGCAGGAAAUAAAAUAAACAGAAGAAGCCCAAUGUAUUUUCCAUUAGGGAGAAUUUCAUCAAGUCUGUGCAUACUGACAAAAAAUUGUAUUGUCCUAUUUCAUUUUCUUUGCUUAAAAUUGCCUCCUAUUUACAUGCCACAUUUUUGUUUGCUUGCUUUUUUGCCUUACAGAUUGUAUAAAGUCUGUUUUUCCUAUGGGAGAUAUAUGAGUCAUCUGUAGUUUUUUUCCCUGGAUGGUGUUGGGAUUACAGUGGAUGUGUUGCUGUGUAUGUAUGUCCGUCUCUCUGUGUGAACACACUCUGAAUGUUCUGUAUUGAUGCCAUACAUCAUACAUAUAUAUUAUCCCAACCAUUAGCAAACAGAAUUAUUGCUGCAAAAAUCUUAUACCUGGCAUUAUAAUCCUCUGUCAUCUGAUGGGAUAGGAGAAUUACAAAGACAUUUUCUGGAUAUAAAGGGAAGUCAAUCAUAUUUGUUAUCCAUCUAGGCUUUGCUGAAUAUUUGGCAAUUGGUCAAUAACCACCAAACAAAGGUGUUAAAUGUUCCUUAGAGAAAGAAUGCUGAUCCUCACAGGAGCACUGCAGUCAGUCAGUGGUGAACGCCAGAUUGUUAUUCAUGUGACUCAGGCAUUUCCGAAGCAUUCUUUACGCAUCUGGAUACUGACUGGCAGGUUUUCUGCUAUCAAUGCUAGGAAGUUUAACAAAGGAAACGCAUUGUAGGGUUGAUCUAAAGCACACUGUGAAGUCAACUGGAGUCAAUACCUUCAUCACCACCACGACUAC